GAUUAUGGCUCAGGACGAACGCUGGCGGCGUGCCUAACACAUGCAAGUCGAGCGAUGAAAUCCUUCGGGAUGGAUUAGCGGCGGACGGGUGAGUAACACGUGGGUAACCUGCCUUGUAGAGGGGGAUAGCCUUCCGAAAGGAAGAUUAAUACCGCAUAACAUCUUUUUAUCGCAUGGUAGAAAGAUCAAAGGAGCAAUCCGCUACAAGAUGGACCCGCGGCGCAUUAGCUAGUUGGUGAGGUAACGGCUCACCAAGGCGACGAUGCGUAGCCGACCUGAGAGGGUGAUCGGCCACAUUGGAACUGAGACACGGUCCAGACUCCUACGGGAGGCAGCAGUGGGGAAUAUUGCGCAAUACGGGGGAAACCCUGACGCAGCAACGCCGCGUGAAUGAAGAAGGCCUUAGGGUUGUAAAGUUCUGUUUACGGGGACGAUAAUGACGGUACCCGUGGAGGAAGCCACGGCUAACUACGUGCCAGCCGCCGC
This 486-nucleotide ribosomal RNA is filed under the name uncultured bacterium. RNAcentral's name for it is "bacterial SSU rRNA". It matches the Rfam family "Bacterial small subunit ribosomal RNA", at positions 15 to 518 of the family's 1533-position model. The record is from RNAcentral.